UCUCCGUUGGUGAACCAGCGGAGGGAUCAUUACCGAGUGCAAACCCAUAACCCUUUGUGAACCUAUAUCUGUUGCUUCGGCGGCUCGCUCUCGGGCGAGCACGCCGGUAAUAUCAGUAUCUCUGUUUGAACCCGACGAUACUUCUGAGUGUUCUUAGCGAACAGUUAAAACUUUUAACAACGGAUCUCUUGGCUCUA
Molecule: unclassified non-coding RNA, 197 nt
Filed under: plant metagenome
Description: partial contains small subunit ribosomal RNA, internal transcribed spacer 1, and 5.8S ribosomal RNA
Source: RNAcentral